UACUAGAGUAGCACUCGCAUAUCAAUAAGCGGAGGAAAAGAAACUAACAAGGAUUCCCCUAGUAACGGCGAGUGAAGCGGGAAGAGCUCAAAUUUGAAAUCUUAAAGGGUUUCCCUUUACGAAUUGUAGUUUAAAGAAGUGUUUUCUGUUGAGGUUUUGGUAAAAGUUCUUUGGAAUAGGACAUCAUAGAGGGUGAGGAAUCCCGUAUUUGACCUUUACUUUCAACUUUGUGAUACACUUUCAAAGAGUCGGAUUGUUUGGGAAUGCAGUCCAAAAUGGGUGGUAAAUUUCAUCUAAAGCUAAAUAUUGGCGAGAGACCGAUAGCGAACAAGUACCGUGAGGGAAAGAUGAAAAGAACUUUGAAAAGAGAGUUAAACAGUACGUGAAAUUGUCAAAAGGGAAGCGUUUGACACCAGUGUUGUUUUUCUGAAAAUCAAUUAAAGAACUGUUUAUGCUAAGCUGUUUAGACUUUAUCAGCUAUCUGUCUAGUUUUAGGCUUUUCUUUAAUGCACUUUUCAGUUAACAAGUCAACAUCAAUUUCUUUUGCUGUAAAAAAGCUUGAGGAAGGUGGCUUGAGAUUCGUCUUAAGUGUUUAUAGCCUCUUGCCUAUGCAGUCGGAGAGAUUGAGGUCUGCAGCGUAGAUCCUUCGGGGCUAAAUGCAUUUGUGCUAAGUUAUAGCAUUUUAUAGACAACUUGUUGACUAUGAUUUGUCUUGUAGCUUACUCGCUUAUGUUAUUUUACCUACGCUUAGGAUGUUGAGCGCAUGUCUCUCUCU
RNAcentral lists this ribosomal RNA (775 nucleotides) under uncultured Neocallimastigales. RNAcentral describes it as "partial large subunit ribosomal RNA". It matches the Rfam family "Eukaryotic large subunit ribosomal RNA", at positions 20 to 616 of the family's 3401-position model. The record is from RNAcentral. Lineage: Eukaryota; Fungi; Neocallimastigomycota; Neocallimastigomycetes; Neocallimastigales.